This 468-nucleotide ribosomal RNA is filed under the name uncultured bacterium. RNAcentral's name for it is "partial 16S ribosomal RNA". It matches the Rfam family "Bacterial small subunit ribosomal RNA", at positions 28 to 507 of the family's 1533-position model. The record is from RNAcentral.
GACGAACGCUGGCGGCGUGCUUAACACAUGCAAGUCGAACGGAAAGGCCCUGCUUUUGUGGGGUGCUCGAGUGGCGAACGGGUGAGUAACACGUGAGUAACCUGCCCUUGACUUUGGGAUAACUUCAGGAAACUGGAGCUAAUACCGGAUAGGAGCUCCUGCUGCAUGGCGGGUGUUGGAAAGUUUCGGCGGCUGGGGAUGGAGGCGCGGCUUCUCAGCUUGGUGGUGGGGUAGUGGCUUCCCACGGCGGGGGCGGCUAGCCGGCCUGGGAGGGUGACCGGGCACAGUGGGACGGGGAUAGGAGCAGGAGUGGUACGGGGGGCAGGGGCGGGGGACUGUGCGAGAUGGGCGGAGGGCGGAUGGAGGGACGCCGGGUGGGGGAGGACGGUCGUCGGGGUGGAAAGCGCGUGCGCGUGGGACGAAGCGUGAGUGACGGUAACGGGUAAAGAAGCGCCGGCUAACUACGUG